This 301-nucleotide ribosomal RNA is filed under the name uncultured bacterium. RNAcentral's name for it is "partial 16S ribosomal RNA". It matches the Rfam family "Bacterial small subunit ribosomal RNA", at positions 509 to 807 of the family's 1533-position model. The record is from RNAcentral.
CAGUCGCCGCGGUAAUACGUAGGUGGCAAGCGUUGUCCGGAAUUAUUGGGCGUAAAGGGCUCGCAGGCGGUUUCUUAAGUCUGAUGUGAAAGCCCCCGACUCAACCGGGGAGGGUCAUUGGAAACUGGGAAACUUGAGUGCAGAAGAGGAGAGUGGAAUUCCACGUGUAGCGGUGAAAUGCGUAGAGAUGUGGAGGAACACCAGUGGCGAAGGCGACUCUCUGGUCUGUAACUGACGCUGAGGCUCGAAAGCGUGGGUAGCAAACAGGAUUAGAUACCCCGGUAGUCCCUGUCUCUUAUAC